GAUGAACGCUGGCGGCGUGCCUAAUACAUGCAAGUCGAGCGAACAGAUGAGGAGCUUGCUCCUCUGACGUUAGCGGCGGACGGGUGAGUAACACGUGGAUAACCUACCUAUAAGACUGGGAUAACUUCGGGAAACCGGAGCUAAUACCGGAUAAUAUAUUGAACCGCAUGGUUCAAUAGUGAAAGACGGUUUUGCUGUCACUUAUAGAUGGAUCCGCGCCGCAUUAGCUAGUUGGUAAGGUAACGGCUUACCAAGGCAACGAUGCGUAGCCGACCUGAGAGGGUGAUCGGCCACACUGGAACUGAGACACGGUCCAGACUCCUACGGGCGGCAGCAGUAGGGAAUCUUCCGCAAUGGGCGAGAGCCUGACGGAGCAACGCCGCGGAAGUAAUGGAGAUCUUCGAGUCGGAAAACUCUGUUAUUAGGGAAGAACAAAUGUAUAAGUAGCUGUUCACGGCUUGACGGUACCUAGUCAGAAAGCCACGGCUGACUACAUG
RNAcentral lists this ribosomal RNA (497 nucleotides) under uncultured bacterium. RNAcentral describes it as "partial 16S ribosomal RNA". It matches the Rfam family "Bacterial small subunit ribosomal RNA", at positions 28 to 507 of the family's 1533-position model. The record is from RNAcentral.